This 517-nucleotide ribosomal RNA is filed under the name uncultured human intestinal bacterium. RNAcentral's name for it is "bacterial SSU rRNA". It matches the Rfam family "Bacterial small subunit ribosomal RNA", at positions 8 to 521 of the family's 1533-position model. The record is from RNAcentral.
AGAGUUUGAUCCUGGCUCAGGAUGAACGCUGGCGGCGUGCUUAACACAUGCAAGUCGAACGGAGUGCCUUUGAUUGAGGAUUCGUCCAAAUGAUAAGGUUACUUAGUGGCGGACGGGUGAGUAACGCGUGAGGAACCUGCCUCGGAGUGGGGAAUAACAACCCGAAAGGGUUGCUAAUACCGCAUGAUGCAGCUGGGUCGCAUGACUCUGGCUGCCAAAGAUUUAUCGCUCUGAGAUGGCCUCGCGUCUGAUUAGCUAGUUGGCGGGGUAACGGCCCACCAAGGCGACGAUCAGUAGCCGGACUGAGAGGUUGACCGGCCACAUUGGGACUGAGACACGGCCCAGACUCCUACGGGAGGCAGCAGUGGGGAAUAUUGGGCAAUGGGCGCAAGCCUGACCCAGCAACGCCGCGUGAAGGAAGAAGGCUUUCGGGUUGUAAACUUCUUUUCUCAGGGACGAAACAAAUGACGGUACCUGAGGAAUAAGCCACGGCUAACUACGUGCCAGCAGCCGCGGU